CUGAUAUUGCUGCUUCUUUCCAGGUACAAAUCAAUCUGUGUUUUUAAUGUUCUUGUGAAAUGCUGAUCUCUAAACAUGCCCUGUUUAUAUGAAACAUGUCCUGUUUAUAUGAACCAGCGAGUAGCUGUUUUGCAUCUGGAGGAAAAGUGUGAACGAGCAAUAGACUGGGCAUUAGAACUAGAGCCUUCUAUAAAACAUAUGGUGAGGCUUAGAAUGAGGAAAAAGAAACCUCUGUUUUGCUUAACAAACGCUUGUAGACUAAUAUUGACAAAUCUUCAGGUAGUCUCUGGUGGUGUUGCUUCAAACAAGUAUGUACGACUUCGACUCAAUAACAUUGUUAAAAACAAAGAACUGAAACU
RNAcentral lists this long non-coding RNA (359 nucleotides) under Capsella rubella. Its description in RNAcentral is "long non-coding RNA (CRUB_LNC003441)". The record is from RNAcentral. Lineage: Eukaryota; Viridiplantae; Streptophyta; Magnoliopsida; Brassicales; Brassicaceae.